Molecule: long non-coding RNA, 1646 nt
Organism: Sarcophilus harrisii (Tasmanian devil)
Lineage: Eukaryota; Metazoa; Chordata; Mammalia; Dasyuromorphia; Dasyuridae
Source: Ensembl
UUCUUAUUAUAUGUCUGUCUUUUGCCUCUUUUAGUAUCCUGGUGCUUAGCCUUGUGCCUAGUACAUAGAAAUGUACUAUACAUGCUUAUUACAUGCUAUAUAAGAAUAUGUAACACAUUAUAUACAACAUUCUAAUAUAUGAAUUAUAUAUCUAACAUACAAAUAUAAUAUACACAUAUUAUACAUACUAUGUGUACAAUAAUGGUACAUAUGUUAUAUAUUGUUAUAGAUCAAUUUACUAAUAUUAUGUUAUAAUAAACAUAAUGGUAUAUUACAUAUAAUUAUAUAAUAGAUUAUUAUAUUACAGAAAUUAGAUCUCUAGUAUAGUAUCUUAGAUAAUAAUAUAGUCUAUAGCUAAUAAUACAUUAUGAUAUAUCUAAUUUACAUAUAUAUAAUAUAUAACUAUAAUUUUACAGAACAUAGAGGUGAGAGGAGCAUUAGAAAGCAUUUAGUCCAAUCACCUAAUUUUACAGAUGAGGAAACUGAGACCAACAAAGGUAUUAAGUGGCAGCCCUAAAGGUGAAAUUCAUUCAUUUCUCCACUGUGUCAUGCUCCCUCCCUCUGGCAAAUCUAGGGUCCCCUGGAAUAGAAAGGUUGAGAAGGAUGAAACAGAAAAGCCAGAUUUCCUCUUCCCCACUGAGUUCUGGAGCAUGAAUUGUAGUAGCAUUUCUAAAAUUUUAUUUUCUGUGUCAAAGAAUCAAUGAGAAACUUAUUUCUAACCAGCAGCAACUUCUGAUAUUUGCUUAGAAGUGACAGGAUGCUAGUCCUGGUUAAAUGACUAUAGGAUACCUAGGAAAAUGCCAUCAAUAUUCAUCUAAUUAAUACUAUUUAUUUCCAGAGAGAGAAUUGAUGAACUCUGAGUAAAGAUUGAAGCAUACUUUCCACUUUAUUUUUCUUGCUUUUUCAAAAAUGUGGCUAAUAUGGAAGUAUGUUUUGCAUGAUUUCACAAGUAUAAUUGAUACAUUACUUGCCUUCUCAAUGGCUCAGGGAGGAGUUGGACGAGGGAGAGAGUCUGGAAGUCAAAAUUUUUUUUAAAAAAUGAAUGUUAAAAAUUCUUGAAAAAUCUAUUUAAUCAUAUAGCCAUUUCUUUUCAAAAAAUUUAAGUAGGAGUAAGAAUGUUAAGCAGUGAUUUCUACCCUUUAUCUCCUACUACUCCCCUUCACAUACUUGACAUUUCAGCCAAAUUGGACUUCUCAGAAUCCCUCAUUCUUAUCUUUUUUUGCUCCCAUUCCUGUGUCUUUGCUCAUACCAUCUCCAGCGUGGGAUGGAAUCCUUUCAUGUCAGCCCAACUAAGUCCUUCCCUUCCUUCAGGGUCCACUUCAAAUGCCUCCUCCACUAAGAAAUGUUUGCUGACAUCCUGAUCCAGUUUCACAUAAUUACUUUCUCCUUAAAAUUUUUCCCUCAUUUUAUCUGACACUAACCCUUUUCCAUGUAACUCAUUCUUCCCUGUGGCAUAGAUAUUUGAUUAUUUUAAAACAGCAUUUUUUAUUUCAUUUUUGAAUUCCCAUAGAACAGUGUCUUAUGCAUAAAUAUUUGCAGAAUGGUUAGUAUGUAAAUUCACUUCCAUUUUUUUCAAUAUUGAGGUUUCAUAUUUGUCUGCAGGUUAAAUGAGACAGUGGGUUGGGAUGCAUGUACCUACAUGGUAC